This 433-nucleotide ribosomal RNA is filed under the name uncultured bacterium. RNAcentral's name for it is "partial 16S ribosomal RNA". It matches the Rfam family "Bacterial small subunit ribosomal RNA", at positions 29 to 507 of the family's 1533-position model. The record is from RNAcentral.
AACGAACGCUGGCGGCAUGCCUAACACAUGCAAGUCGAACGAGACCUUCGGGUCUAGUUGCGCACGGGUUCGUAACGCGUGGGAACCUUCCCUUAGGUUCGGAAUAACUCCCCGAAAGGGGUGCUAAUAGCGGAUAAUGUCUUCUGACCAAUGAUUUAUCUCCUUUGGAUGGGUCCGCGUUGGAUUAGCUAGUUGGUAGGGUAAAAGACUACCAAGGCGACGAUCCAUAGCUGGUCUGAGAGGAUGAUCAGCCACACUGGGACUGAGACACGGCCCAGACUCCUACGGGAGGAAGCAGUGGGGAAUAUUGGACGCUGGGCGAAAGACUGAUCCAGCCAUGCCGCGUGAGUGAUGAAGGACUUAGGGUUGUAAAGCACUUUUACCCGGGAUGAUAAUGACAGUAACGGGAGAAUAAGCUACGGCUAACUACGUG